GCCCGAAGCCGAUUAUCUAACCUUUUGGAAGAAGUCGUCGAAGGUGGAAUCAAUAACUGGGGUGAAGUCGUAACAAGGUAGCCGUAUCGGAAGGUGCGGCUGGAUCACCUCCUUU
RNAcentral lists this ribosomal RNA (115 nucleotides) under Clostridioides difficile. RNAcentral describes it as "partial 16S ribosomal RNA". It matches the Rfam family "Bacterial small subunit ribosomal RNA", at positions 1419 to 1533 of the family's 1533-position model. RNAcentral also lists the same sequence under 2 other names. Lineage: Bacteria; Bacillati; Bacillota; Clostridia; Peptostreptococcales; Peptostreptococcaceae. The record is from RNAcentral.